This 698-nucleotide ribosomal RNA is filed under the name uncultured bacterium. RNAcentral's name for it is "bacterial SSU rRNA". It matches the Rfam family "Bacterial small subunit ribosomal RNA", at positions 800 to 1504 of the family's 1533-position model. The record is from RNAcentral.
CGUAAAACGAUGAAUGCUAGGUGUGGGGCAGAAAUGUUCCGUGCCGGAGUUAACACAAUAAGCAUUCCACCUGGGGAGUACGGCCGCAAGGUUGAAACUCAAAGGAAUUGACGGGAGCCCGCACAAGCAGUGGAGUAUGUGGUUUAAUUCGACGCAACGCGAAGAACCUUACCAGGGCUUGACAUCCACGGAAGACCGGGUAAAGCCGGUUGUGCCCCUUCGGGGGAACCGUGAGACAGGUGGUGCAUGGUUGUCGUCAGCUCGUGUCGUGAGAUGUUGGGUUAAGUCCCGCAACGAGCGCAACCCUUACGGUUAGUUGCUACGCAAGAGCACUCUAACAGGACUGCCGUUGACAAAACGGAGGAAGGUGGGGAUGACGUCAAAUCAUCAUGCCCUUUACGUUCUGGGCUACACACGUACUACAAUGGCGUAAACAAAAGGAAGCGAAGCGGUGACGCGGAGCAAAUCCCAAAAAGACGCCCCAGUUCAGAUUGCAGGCUGCAACUCGCCUGCAUGAAGUCGGAAUUGCUAGUAAUCGUAAAUCAGCAUGUUACGGUGAAUACGUUCCCGGGCUUUGUACACACCGCCCGUCAGGCCAUGAGAGUCGGGGGGACCCGAAGUCUGUGUCCCAACCGCAAGGAAGGAGCAGCCGAAGGUAAGCCCGAUGAUUGGGGUUAAGUCGUAACAAGGUAACCGUA